Molecule: ribosomal RNA, 468 nt
Filed under: uncultured bacterium
Lineage: Bacteria
Description: partial 16S ribosomal RNA
Rfam family: Bacterial small subunit ribosomal RNA
Source: RNAcentral
GAUGAACGCUGGCGGCGUGCUUAACACAUGCAAGUCGAACGGUGAAGGCGGAGCUUGCUCUGCUGGAUCAGUGGCGAACGGGUGAGUAACACGUGAGCAAUCUGCCCCUGACUCUGGGAUAAGCGCUGGAAACGGCGUCUAAUACUGGAUACGAGCUGCGAAGGCAUCUUCAGCAGCUGGAAAGAAUUUCGGUCAGGGAUGAGCUCGCGGCCUAUCAGCUUGUUGGUGAGGUAAUGGCUCACCAAGGCGUCGACGGGUAGCCGGCCUGAGAGGGUGACCGGCCACACUGGGACUGAGACACGGCCCAGAGUCCUACGGGAGGCAGCAGUGGGGAAUAUUGCACAAUGGGCGAAAGCCUGAUGCAGCAACGCCGCGUGAGGGACGACGGCCCUCGGGUUGUAAACCUCUUUUAGCAGGGAAGAAGCGAAAGUGACGGUACCUGCAGAAAAAGCGCCGGCUAACUACGUG